CUACGGGAGGCUGCAGUGGGGAAUAUUGGACAAUGGGGGAAACCCUGAUCCAGCAAUGCCGCGUGUGUGAAGAAGGCCUGCGGGUUGUAAAGCACUUUCGGUUGGGAGGACUGCUUCUAGCACUAAUAUUGUUGGAAGUUGACGUUACCUUCAGAAGAAGCACCGGCUAACUCCGUGCCAGCAGCUGCGGUAAUACGGAGGGUGCAAGCGUUAAUCGGAAUUACUGGGCGUAAAGCGCGCGUAGGCGGCUAGAUCAGUCGGGUGUGAAAGCCCCGGGCUUAACCUGGGAACUGCAUCCGAUACUGUCGAGCUUGAGUACAGGAGAGGGGAGUGGAAUUCCACAUGUAGCGGUGAAAUGCGUAGAUAUGUGGAGGAACACCAAUGGCGAAGGCAGCUCUCUGGCCUGAUACUGACGCUGAGGUGCGAAAGCGUGGGGAGCAAACAGGAUUAGAUACCCCCGUAGUC
RNAcentral lists this ribosomal RNA (465 nucleotides) under uncultured bacterium. RNAcentral's name for it is "partial 16S ribosomal RNA". It matches the Rfam family "Bacterial small subunit ribosomal RNA", at positions 339 to 795 of the family's 1533-position model. The record is from RNAcentral.